GGGGACCUCAGGUCAGGCGGGGCUACCCG
This 29-nucleotide ribosomal RNA is filed under the name Dichilus strictus. RNAcentral's name for it is "partial 26S ribosomal RNA". The record is from RNAcentral. Lineage: Eukaryota; Viridiplantae; Streptophyta; Magnoliopsida; Fabales; Fabaceae.